RNAcentral lists this long non-coding RNA (337 nucleotides) under Monodelphis domestica (gray short-tailed opossum). RNAcentral describes it as "lncRNA (ENSMODG00000039605.1)". Lineage: Eukaryota; Metazoa; Chordata; Mammalia; Didelphimorphia; Didelphidae. The record is from RNAcentral.
AACAGAUUUAUUAGGAUACAUGCCAAGAACAGAGGAAGGACUAAUAUCCCAGAUCCCUUGGAAAAACAGGAGUUAUAUAAUACAUUCAAGACAGUGGAAGCCCUACAUUUGGAUUCUAAUAUCACAACCCUAAAUAUAGUACUAAUAGAGAAGUCAGAAACGGCACUAAAGAGAAAGAAGACAGGAAAAGUAGCUGGAUUGGAGCUGUGGAUAGAGAAGAAAUCUAUGUUAAAGAUGAGAAAGUAUGAGAAAGACAGCAGCAGACUCUACAUUUGUCAUCCAAGGACCGGCUCAUCCUCCAUUCAAAUAGGCUCAUCUUCAGAAUACUGAUCCCAAA